Streptococcus suis 05ZYH33 is the source of this 89-nucleotide non-coding RNA. The record is from Rfam. Lineage: Bacteria; Bacillati; Bacillota; Bacilli; Lactobacillales; Streptococcaceae.
CAUCCUGUGCAACCGCACGAAUGCCGUUCUUUCGUUGAGAGUAGAGUAAGUGGUUCGUCCCACGGUACUAGGCGAGUCUUCACAUCAAA